Molecule: long non-coding RNA, 236 nt
Organism: Sinocyclocheilus grahami
Lineage: Eukaryota; Metazoa; Chordata; Actinopteri; Cypriniformes; Cyprinidae
Exons: 3
Source: RefSeq, a predicted model, not a curated record
ACCAUCGUUGCGUAAUGGCACCGAACGGCCCUUCUUUCUGGUUGAGUACAACGGUGAGGGACAUUCCUCUGAAGAUCCCAGCUGCCCUAAAUUCGGCCCUGGACUAGCUGAAUGCUUCCCAGACUGCGUAUGUGAAGAUGCCUUCAACAACACGUACGCCUGCGUCAGAGCUCUGAAGGAUGCCAACCUGCAGUACUGCGAGUUCGCAGACAACGAGUCGUUCGUAGAGGUGUACA